CAUGUUCAUACUUUCUUAAUGUUGCUGGAAAUAUAAUAUCCAGUAUCCAUUACUCUAAAAAUAUAUAGUAUAUAUCCCACAUAUUUUCUCCUUGUACGGUGCAGAAGAAACACGAAAGACCAAAUACUAGUAAGUAUCCCCUGGAACUUUUGGCGGGGAAAUCCACAUGACUUAAAAACCCUAAUUCUUACUGGAACCUUUACUGUAUCGUUUUUUUCGGAUUCAUCGUGUUUUGAGUCACAGCAGGAAAGCUAGCUAUGACACACAACGCACACCACACAUAGUUAUAAGAGAAGUCCUCAUAGGAGAAACUCAACAGCAGAGUCGAGUCAUUCCAACCCCCUCCUGCUCUCCCCCACAGAAAUCAAAAGGGCUAAAAAAAAAAAAAAAAAAAAAAAAAAAAAGAAAAAAGGAGUCAUUCUCAUCACCAACAGUUAGUUACCAAGUGAAUAAAUAUCAAAGAACAUUCAAAGAAUUGGGAAGUUAUUCUGCAUGUUAACUACAAGUACGGAGUACAGUACAGUAACUUCUGUGGUGUAACGAUAUCAACGGCCCCCUUCUGAAAUAUCUCUAACUAUCAAAUGGAUCCAUUAAAUGUAAUUUAAUAAUGCGGAGGGGCAUACCCACUCCAGUGAUGGAGACAGGAUUUUCUACCGGUUAGAAAAGAAGAGAAAAGAAAAAAAUCAAGUUUUUUUUUUUUUUUGUGUGUUGGCGUAAAUAAAGGAUUACUGUACAGGCAGCCCACAUAAGGCCUUCAAUUUUUCAUCUUCCCCCUUUCCCCUUCCCCCCAGGAGCAAUUCUGUUCCAAGGAACUGAAUUGAAGUAGCUGCAUCACCAAGAAGAGGGAAAGGUAUCCCCCACAUCCACUCAUCCAUACAUAAUCCGUACAAAGUUUUCAAAUCCGAUGGUCGAAGGCAGGAAGAAAACAGGAAGAAAACAGGAAGAAAACGAGAAGCAAAAGCAAGGGCAUCACCUCAGCAUUGGAAGAAAAAAGAAAGAAAAAGGAUAAGAUGUACCCGCACCUACCCCACCUACCUAGAGCUUGUUUCGUGAGGAGUGGGGGGGCAAACGAGGUAGACUAGAGAUAACAAAAUGGAAAGAUAAAAACAAUAAAUGAUAGAUAAAAUAAAAUCAAUCAAUAAAUAAAUAAAUAAAUACAUGCAAAGAGAACGAUUUGGGGGAAUAAAUGUAACUGUUAAAUUUUUCACAAGCGAAGCCACCCGAUCGAUCAACAUCAGAUCAGAUCAAGGUGGUAAUGGGAAGUUAUAAAAAACUCGGCUGGUUAAGAAACGAAUGGUAAACCAGAUGAUAGAGUUGACUGGGGUAGGGGUAAAACGAACGCUCGAAAAGAAAAACCAUAAAACCAUAACAGUAAAACCCAUUCACAAUUUAACCGCGCAGGGGGAUAGAAACAAACCAGCCAACCAGUAAAUCAAUAAUAAAUCGUGACUUGAAAGGGGAGGGGGAAAAAACAGUAUUCAGAGCGUUCUAUACAAAUCUCUCCGUUUCUCAUCCCUAUAUCCACUCAUUCACGCUAACCAGCCUCUCCGCAGCACCACCGCCACCAUACCCCUUGCCGCCGCUAUACUCCACAGUACCAAACGUAGACCGAUACAACCCUUCGAUCUCAGCAAUGUACUCGUCCACCGCAAACUUAUACAGUCCCUUCUCCACCAGCAUCUGCUCCUCCUCUACAAUCACAGCGUUGAGUACCGUAGCGAAUUCCUCAGCGACCUCGUUGACCUGCUCUAGCUCCUUGCCAAAAGGGUGUGGCUGUGUGGAGAUGGAGGUAGAGGACUCGGGGACUUGGCGGAGGCGUUCUUGGCUUAGUCGAGCGGAUCGCGUGCUGCUUUGGGUGCUGUGGGACCGGUUGAUUGAUUGGGAGCGAGAGUGGGAGUGGGAGUGGGAUUGAGAGCGGGAGAGGGAGGAAGUUGAUGGUGUAUGUGAAUGGGACGAGCCCUUAGAUAGUGAUCGCUGGCGGGCUAAUUCCUGAUGCGAUCUUUUUGUAUGCGACAAUGAUCGACGGGGCAGCGUUGGGGUUUGAGAGACAGAAGAGAUUGAAGAGCGGGUGUCGCGGUGUGUGGUGUUGGAGCGCUUGGGAGAGUUGAAGUAGCCAGAGAGAUGGUUUGGCUCUGGAGUGGUGGGCGAGUUCUCUUCGGGCGAGAGAUCCGGGGAGGUCAUCGGGGUGCCGGAGACGUGUGAAGGAGAGGGAAUAGAGGACGAGGAUGAGGCGGAAGAAGGGUUUGUAAUAUCUGAGUCUGAACCAGAACGGACAGAGGAAGAUGAUGAAUUGGAGGGGGAUGUCAAAGUUUUCUUGAGUUCUGGCGAUGGCUGCUGGGCUUGGGGGACCUUUGCGUUAUUGAGUUUAGAUCUGGGAAGGUCAGGAGCAUUGUAUGCGAGGAGGUUUGUGGUCGAUAACAACUGCACCGGUAAAGAGAUAUCUUUCCGUUUGAUCGUUCCGGCAGCGAAUUUCUGUUGGUUUUCGCGAUAAGGCAUGGGGGAAGACACCACAAGUGUCUUUUGCUGGCGCUUGGUGAACGCCCUGCUCAGGGGAUUCGACAUGGUGGAAGUCGCCAUGGCCAAUAUCUCUCUGAUCUGCUAAACGAAAGUUGGGCUUAUAUGGAUUGUUCAAGGGUUGGUUUCUGGAUGAAAUCGUGUGCCACGGUGAGAGAAGAUGGCCACAGUGCGAUGGGAGGGUUGGCGCUUCCCUUUUAGAUAUCUCCACACACCGGUUGACGCAGCCGCCAGAUGAAAAAAAAAAUGGGGAAUGUAAAUUGAAACGACAAGAAAACCCAAGGGGUUAUAUUCAAGUUCCCAGGCAACGCAACCCCGCGAGCGAGUUUCGGGGCUCGGUUUCGCAAUAAAGUAGCUUAAAAAAAAUCGAUCGAUGCCCUGCGCUCUAUGUUUUCCUGG
RNAcentral lists this small RNA (2913 nucleotides) under Histoplasma capsulatum G186AR. RNAcentral's name for it is "hypothetical RNA". The record is from RNAcentral. Lineage: Eukaryota; Fungi; Ascomycota; Eurotiomycetes; Onygenales; Ajellomycetaceae.